This 235-nucleotide ribosomal RNA is filed under the name uncultured bacterium. RNAcentral's name for it is "partial 16S ribosomal RNA". It matches the Rfam family "Bacterial small subunit ribosomal RNA", at positions 118 to 350 of the family's 1533-position model. The record is from RNAcentral.
UGGGCAACCUGCCCCUCUCUCUGGGAUAACCCCGGGAAACCGGAGCUAAUACCGGAUACUCCGGCUGGAUCGCAUGGUCCGGCCGGGAAAGGUCCGCCGGAGAGGGAUGGGCCCGCGGCCUAUCAGCUUGUUGGUGGGGUCAUGGCUCACCAAGGCGACGACGGGUAGCUGGUCUGAGAGGACGACCAGCCCACACUGGAACUGAGAUACGGUCCAGACCUCCGUACGGGAGGCA